This 500-nucleotide ribosomal RNA is filed under the name uncultured bacterium. RNAcentral's name for it is "partial 16S ribosomal RNA". It matches the Rfam family "Bacterial small subunit ribosomal RNA", at positions 30 to 523 of the family's 1533-position model. The record is from RNAcentral.
AUUGAACGCUGGCGGCAUGCCUUACACAUGCAAGUCGAACGGCAGCACGGGUGCUUGCACCUGGUGGCGAGUGGCGAACGGGUGAGUAAUACAUCGGAACGUACCUUAUCGUGGGGAUAACGCAGCGAAAGUUGCGCUUAUACCGCAUACGCCCUGAGGGGGAAAGCGGGGGACCGUAAGGCCUCGCGCGAUUAGAGCGGCCGAUGUCUGAUUAGCUUGUUGGAGAGGUAAAAGCUCACCAAGGCGAUGAUCAGUAGCGGGUCUGAGAGGACGAUCAGCCACACUGGGACUGAGACACGGCCCAGACUCCUACGGGAGGCAGCAGUGGGGAAUUUUGGACAAUGGGGGCAACCCUGAUCCAGCAAUGCCGCGUGAGUGAAGAAGGCCUUCGGGUUGUAAAGCUCUUUUGUCAGGGAAGAAACAGCAGCUCUAACACAGUCUGCGAAUGACGGUACCUGAAGAAUAAGCACCGGCUAACUACGUGCCAGCCGCCGCGGUAA